UACGGAGGGUGCGAGCGUUGUCCGGAAUCACUGGGCGUAAAGGGCGCGUAGGCGGCCUGAUAAGUAGGAGGUGAAAUCCUGCGGCUUAACCGCAGGGCUGCCUUCUAAACUGUCAGGCUAGAGCACGGUAGAGGCAGAUGGAAUUCCCGGUGUAGCGGUGGAAUGCGUAGAGAUCGGGAAGAACAUCAGUGGCGAAGGCGGUCUGCUGGGCCGUUGCUGACGCUGAGGCGCGAAAGCCAGGGGAGCGAAUGGG
Molecule: ribosomal RNA, 253 nt
Filed under: uncultured bacterium
Lineage: Bacteria
Description: partial 16S ribosomal RNA
Rfam family: Bacterial small subunit ribosomal RNA
Source: RNAcentral